RNAcentral lists this ribosomal RNA (253 nucleotides) under uncultured bacterium. RNAcentral's name for it is "partial 16S ribosomal RNA". It matches the Rfam family "Bacterial small subunit ribosomal RNA", at positions 524 to 776 of the family's 1533-position model. The record is from RNAcentral.
UACGUAGGGGGCAAGCGUUGUCCGGAUUUAUUGGGCGUAAAGAGCGUGUAGGCGGCCGGACAGGUCGGCUGUGAAAACUCGAGGCUCAACCUCGAGACGUCGGUUGAAACCGUACGGCUAGAGUCCGGAAGAGGAGAGUGGAAUUCCCGGUGUAGCGGUGAAAUGCGCAGAUAUCGGGAAGAACACCCGUGGCGAAGGCGGCUCUCUGGGACGGUACUGACGCUGAGGAGCGAAAGCGUGGGGAGCGAACAGG